RNAcentral lists this ribosomal RNA (442 nucleotides) under uncultured bacterium. RNAcentral's name for it is "partial 16S ribosomal RNA". It matches the Rfam family "Bacterial small subunit ribosomal RNA", at positions 338 to 795 of the family's 1533-position model. The record is from RNAcentral.
CCUACGGGGGGCAGCAGUGGGGAAUAUUGGGCAAUGGGCGCAAGCCUGACCCAGCAACGCCGCGUGAAGGAAGAAGGCUUUCGGGUUGUAAACUUCUUUUAAGAGGGAAGAGCAGAAGACGGUACCUCUUGAAUAAGCCACGGCUAACUACGUGCCAGCAGCCGCGGCAAUACGUAGGUGGCAAGCGUUGUCCGGAUUUACUGGGUGUAAAGGGCGUGUAGCCGGGCUGAGAAGUCAGAUGUGAAAGCCCGUGGCUCACCCACGGAACUGCAUUUGAAACUGUCGGUCUUGAGUAUCGGAGAGGCAGGCGGAAUUCCUAGUGUAGCGGUGAAAUGCGUAGAUAUUAGGAAGAACACCGGUUGCGAAGGCAGCCUGCUGGACGGCAACUGACGGUGAGGCGCGAAAGCGUGGGGAGCAAACAGGAUUAGAUACCCUUGUAGUC